UUGUUUCUGUAUUCAAAUACUGAUGAAUCGACACUUCCAAAAGAUAUGUAAGUUCAGUCAUCAUCUCUGACUCUAUGCUGUAUAUCAUAAGGUGUUUUAUUUCUCAAGCCACUGUUUGGUCUGUGUACAAUAUGUGCUUCCUCUUUGUAGGUCAUUCAAAUUGAUAGGAUAAUGUAUGAUCAUGCUUUGUAUAGAGCUGACCUCACAUGGAACGUCCUAUCCAUCUUAAACUUCACCCAGGCUUGAUACAAUUGACCCUUUAAUUUCCUAGAAAUUCUCAUCUUUGCAUGUGCAAAUAUUAUUUUAUUUGUCAUACUCUUAUACAUUGAAGUUACAUUUUAUCCCACAGACUGAUGGCCAAAGAAGAUUUGGGAAGUUCCACUAUGUUCCUACAGACUGUUGGCCAAAAAAGAUUUGGGGGAAAAUAGCUCUAGAGAAGGAUUGAGAUGAAAAUGGUAGAAUCAUGGUAGAACUGUUUAUAUUGCUGAUUGAGACGGCGAUUGUGAUUUAUUGCUUUUUACUAAUUUUUUAUCUUUUCUACUUUGCUCAGAUCAUUUAUAUAGGUUGUUCUUUCUUUAGUACCAAUGAAUAACUUGGUUACACGAUAUACUUGAAGACUGUAGUAGGAAUAAAAUGCUU
RNAcentral lists this long non-coding RNA (639 nucleotides) under Triticum aestivum (bread wheat). RNAcentral describes it as "long non-coding RNA (TAES_LNC011407)". Lineage: Eukaryota; Viridiplantae; Streptophyta; Magnoliopsida; Poales; Poaceae. The record is from RNAcentral.